GUGGGGAAUAUUGGGCAAUGGGCGAAAGCCUGACCCAGCAACGCCGCGUGAAGGAAGAAGGUUUUCGGAUCGUAAACUUCUAUCCUUGGUGAAGAUAAUGACGGUAGCCAAGAAGGAAGCCCCGGCUAACUACGUGCCAGCAGCCGCGGUAAUACGUAGGGGGCAAGCGUUGUCCGGAAUGAUUGGGCGUAAAGGGCGCGUAGGCGGCCUGGUAAGUCUGGAGUGAAAGUCCUGCUUUUAAGGUGGGAAUUGCUUUGGAUACUGUCGGGCUUGAGUGCAGGAGAGGUAAGUGGAAUUCCCGGUGUAGCGGUGAAAUGCGUAGAGAUCGGGAGGAACACCAGUGGCGAAGGCGACUUACUGGACUGCAACUGACGCUGAGGCGCGAAAGUGUGGGGAGCAAACAGGAUUAGAAACCCGUGUAGUCC
RNAcentral lists this ribosomal RNA (425 nucleotides) under uncultured bacterium. RNAcentral describes it as "partial 16S ribosomal RNA". It matches the Rfam family "Bacterial small subunit ribosomal RNA", at positions 354 to 796 of the family's 1533-position model. The record is from RNAcentral.